RNAcentral lists this ribosomal RNA (482 nucleotides) under uncultured bacterium. RNAcentral describes it as "partial 16S ribosomal RNA". It matches the Rfam family "Bacterial small subunit ribosomal RNA", at positions 28 to 523 of the family's 1533-position model. The record is from RNAcentral.
AGUGAACGUUGGCGGCGUGGAUUAGGCAUGCAAGUCGAGCGAGAACCGUAGCAAUACGGGGACAGCGGCGAAAGGGACAGUAAUGUGUAGGUACCUACCCCGAGGUCUGGGAUAGCUGCGGGAAGCUGCAGGUAAUACCGGAUAAUGUCUUCGGACCAAAGGUGUGAUUCCACCUUGGGAGGGGCCUGCAUCCUAUUAGCUAGUUGGCGGGGUAAUGGCCCACCAAGGCAACGAUGGGUAGCGGGUGUGAGAGCACGACCCGCGUCAUUGGGGCUGAGACACUGCCCAGACACCUGCGGGUGGCUGCAGUCGAGGAUCUUCGGCAAUGGGCGCAAGCCUGACCGAGCGACGCCGCGUGCGGGAUGAAGGCCUUCGGGUUGUAAACCGCUGUCGUAGAGGAGGAAAUGCAGGGGGGUUCUCCCUUCUGUUUGACCUAUUCUAGGAGGAAGGACGGGCUAAGUUCGUGCCAGCCGCCGCCGUAA